GACGAACGCUGGCGGCGCGCUUAACACAUGCAAGUCGAGCGAUGAAAUUUCGACAGAUCCCUUCGGGGUGAAGAUGAAAUGGAUUAGCGGCGGACGGGUGAGUAACACGUGAGUAACCUGCCUUUGACAUUGGGAUAGCCUCGGGAAACUGGGAUUAAUACCAAAUGACACUAACUGAUCACAUGAUCAAUUAGUCAAAGAAAUUCGGUCAAAGAUGGACUCGCGGCUGAUUAGCUAGUUGGUGAGGUAACGGCCCACCAAGGCGACGAUCAGUAGCCGGCGUGAGAGGGUGAUCGGACACAGUGGAACUGAGACACGGUACAAACUCAUACGGGAGGCAGCAGUGGGGAAUAUUGCACAAUGGGGGAAACCGUGAUGCAGCGACGCCGCGUGAGCGAAGAAGGCAUUCGGGUCGUAAAGCUCUUUUCUGAGGGAAGAUAAUGACGGUACCUGAAGAAAAAGCCCCGGCUAACUACGUG
This 479-nucleotide ribosomal RNA is filed under the name uncultured bacterium. RNAcentral describes it as "partial 16S ribosomal RNA". It matches the Rfam family "Bacterial small subunit ribosomal RNA", at positions 28 to 507 of the family's 1533-position model. The record is from RNAcentral.